This 676-nucleotide ribosomal RNA is filed under the name uncultured bacterium. RNAcentral's name for it is "bacterial SSU rRNA". It matches the Rfam family "Bacterial small subunit ribosomal RNA", at positions 62 to 717 of the family's 1533-position model. The record is from RNAcentral.
UCGAACGCGAAGUUUCCUUCGGGAGGCGAGUAGAGUGGCGCACGGGUGAGUAACACGUAGGUAAUCUACCUUUGGAUGGGGAAUAACAACCGGAAACGGUUGCUAAUACCGCAUAAUGCAGCGGCACCUAAUGGUGACAGUUGUUAAAGCGGGGGAUCGAAAGACCUCGCGUCUGAAGAGGAGCCUGCGGCGGAUUAGCUAGUUGGUAAGGUAAUGGCUUACCAAGGCGAUGAUCCGUAACCGGCCUGAGAGGGCGGUCGGUCACACUGACACUGACACACGGGUCAGACUCCUACGGGAGGCAGCAGUCGGGAAUUUUGGGCAAUGGGCGAAAGCCUGACCCAGCAACGCCGCGUGAAGGAUGAAAUCCCUCGGGAUGUAAACUUCGCAAGAACAGGAAGAAUAAGUAAGGGUUAAUAUCUCUUACGAUGACGGUACUGUUUGUAAGCUCCGGCUAACUCCGUGCCAGCAGCCGCGGUAAUACGGGGGGAGCAAGCGUUGUUCGGAUUUACUGGGCGUAAAGGGCGCGUAGGCGGCCACCGCAAGUCGGUUGUGAAAUCUCUGGGCUUAACCCAGAAAGGUCAACCGAUACUGCGGGGCUAGAGUGCAGAAGGGGCAACUGGAAUUCUCGGUGUAGCGGUGAAAUGCGUAGAUAUCGAGAGGGACACCUGCGGCG